UACGGAGGGGGCUAGCGUUGUUCGGAAUUACUGGGCGUAAAGCGCACGUAGGCGGCUUUGUAAGUUAGAGGUGAAAAGCCCGGGGCUCAACUCCGGAAUUGCCUUUAAGACUGCAUCGCUCGAAUUGUGGAGAGGUAAGUGGAAUUCCGAGUGUAGAGGUGAAAUUCGUAGAUAUUCGGAAGGAACACCAGUGGCGAAAGCGGCUUCCUGGUCCAGCACCGACGUUCAGGCACGAAAGCGUGGGGAGCAAACAGG
RNAcentral lists this ribosomal RNA (255 nucleotides) under uncultured bacterium. RNAcentral's name for it is "partial 16S ribosomal RNA". It matches the Rfam family "Bacterial small subunit ribosomal RNA", at positions 524 to 776 of the family's 1533-position model. The record is from RNAcentral.